AGGUCCUACGGGAGGCAGCAGUAGGGAAUCUUCGGCAAUGGACGAAAGUCUGACCGAGCCACGCCGCGUGAGUGAAGAAGGUUUUCGGAUCGUAAAACUCUGUUGGUAGAGAAGAACGUUGGUGAGAGUGGAAAGCUCAUCAAGUGACGGUAACUACCCAGAAAGGGACGGCUAACUACGUGCCAGCAGCCGCGGUAAUACGUAGGUCCCGAGCGUUGUCCGGAUUUAUUGGGCGUAAAGCGAGCGCAGGUGGUUUAUUAAGUCUGGGGUAAACAGCAGUGGCUCAAGCAUUGUAUGCAUUGGAA
This 305-nucleotide ribosomal RNA is filed under the name uncultured bacterium. RNAcentral's name for it is "bacterial SSU rRNA". It matches the Rfam family "Bacterial small subunit ribosomal RNA", at positions 334 to 631 of the family's 1533-position model. The record is from RNAcentral.